UUUCCGUAGGUGAACCUGCGGAGGGAUCAUUAACGAGUAAAGUCCUUCGGAACUUUCUUAUCCAAACACCGGUGAAAAAUAAUUUUUGCUUUGGGAAUUUAAUUAUUCCCAACAAUCAAAACCACUAAGUCGUCUUUUGUCUGAAUAAUUAUUUAAAAAUCAAAACUUUCAACAACGGAUCUCUUGGUUCUC
This 192-nucleotide unclassified non-coding RNA is filed under the name plant metagenome. Its description in RNAcentral is "partial contains small subunit ribosomal RNA, internal transcribed spacer 1, and 5.8S ribosomal RNA". The record is from RNAcentral.